GGAUGCGAUCAUACCAGCACUAAAGCACCGGAUCCCAUCAGAACUCCGAAGUUAAGCGUGCUUGGGCGAGAGUAGUACUGGGAUGGGUGACCUCCUGGGAAGUCCUCGUGUUGCAUUCC
Molecule: ribosomal RNA, 119 nt
Organism: Sorghum bicolor (sorghum)
Lineage: Eukaryota; Viridiplantae; Streptophyta; Magnoliopsida; Poales; Poaceae
Source: Rfam